ACAGGAGCUAGCUAGGUACUCCACCACUCAAGUGCUCCCGUUCUUCUUCCUCCUGUCCACGCCCGGCGCCCCUGCCUCGACGACACCGGCCGUGCUGGACGGUUCUCCAUCGCAUCCCUCGUUUCCUGUUGCGAACUACAGCACGCGCGCCACCGCUCUCCACUGGCCGGAUCCAUACACACAAUGGAGCCAGCGGACGAAGUGGAGAUUUGGGAGGCCAUCUUAGCGGAUCCGCUUGAUUGGCCUCCAUCUUCUGUUACUAUUCCUCGUCCAAGCCAGGUGGAAGAAUACUUCAGUUAUGUGUAUGGCGAUGAUGACAUGGAAAUCAACAAAUUUGCACAAGAGCCCGAAGAUGGGCAGUGCCACCAGCAAUAUUUGGGAGAAUUCAUAUUAAACAAAAGUGGGAGGCAUGGCCCACAAGUUCCUCGCAAGAGGAGGAUAUCUGCUUCGGGAAGUGGAGGCAAGAAAUUGCACGGUCGAAAAAACAAUGAACACUGGACACGUGAAGAAGUGAAGAAGCUGAUAUUAGGAGAUAUGGUGAAGGGCGAUGGACUAAGGUGAAGCGUCAUUACUUCUCAUCAUCAGUUCGAGAGCCAACACAUCUCAAGGAUAAGUGGAGAAAUGUCCGGAGAGCUUGUGGAGUCCCGUGCGGCUCCAAAAGGAAGGAGAAGGCACAGAAGACUAUGUUCCGGCCCCUAGAUUCAAAGUCGGUCAAAGAGAUCCGAAGGUUAGCAAAGAAACACAAUGUGAAAUGAACAACUAGCUGCAAAUGACAACCAAAUGCUAGUUGAGGCUUUGUACGUUUUAUGUAAGUAAAUCAACAUCUAAUGUUGUUUCUUUCAGAACUGGGAAGCAUGUAAAUAUAUUAUGUAAGAAUCACGUAGCAAGCCUGGGCUAUUUCGGUGUGUAUAUAUCGUAGAUA
Triticum aestivum (bread wheat) is the source of this 922-nucleotide long non-coding RNA. RefSeq lists it as uncharacterized. The record is from RefSeq and is a predicted model, not a curated record. The transcript has 6 exons. Lineage: Eukaryota; Viridiplantae; Streptophyta; Magnoliopsida; Poales; Poaceae.